This 46-nucleotide ribosomal RNA is filed under the name Mucor ramosissimus. RNAcentral's name for it is "partial 28S ribosomal RNA". Lineage: Eukaryota; Fungi; Mucoromycota; Mucoromycetes; Mucorales; Mucoraceae. The record is from RNAcentral.
AUUUGAUCUGAAAUCAGGUGGGACUACCCGCUGAACUUAAGCAUAU